CCUACGGGAGGCAGCAGUGGGGAAUCUUCCGCAAUGGGCGAAAGCCUGACGGAGCCACGCCGCGUGAUCGAAUGAAGGCCUUCGGGUUGUAAAGAUCUGUUGACAGGGACGAAUAAGCAAUGCGAAUAGUUUUGUGUAUGACGGUACCUGUUUAGAAAUCUGCGGCUAACUACGUGCCAGCAGCCGCGGGAAUACGGAGGGAGCAAGCGUUGUCCGGAAUUUCGUGGCGUAAAGGGCGCGUCGGGGGGCGGUUAAGUCAGGUGUGAAAACUCCGGGCUCAACCUGGGGACUGCACUUGAAACUGGGGGUCUUGAGGGAGGGAGAGGAAAGUGGAAUUCCUGGUGUAGCGGUGAAAUGCGUAGAUAUUAGGAGGAACACCGGUGGCGAAGGCGACUUUCUGGACUGUAACUGACGCUGAGGCGCGAAAGCGUGGGUAGCGAACGGGAUUAGAUACCCCUGUAGUC
RNAcentral lists this ribosomal RNA (464 nucleotides) under uncultured bacterium. Its description in RNAcentral is "partial 16S ribosomal RNA". It matches the Rfam family "Bacterial small subunit ribosomal RNA", at positions 338 to 795 of the family's 1533-position model. The record is from RNAcentral.